This is a long non-coding RNA of Scylla paramamosain (green mud crab), 6765 nucleotides long. RefSeq lists it as uncharacterized. Lineage: Eukaryota; Metazoa; Arthropoda; Malacostraca; Decapoda; Portunidae. The record is from RefSeq and is a predicted model, not a curated record. The transcript is spliced from 4 exons.
CUGCGCAUUUGUCUUGUUGGUUGGGCGGAGAGGUGGCCACGCGGGGCUGGACUAGCAGGCCGGUUUCUGUUCGGAUGGCUUGAGCACUGGGCAGGCGUGACGAGGGAAAGUGUGGGCAAUGUAUCUGGUUGUUGUAGACCUACAAGUGAUUGGUGGAGGGUAGUGAACAUGGCCCUUAUCGUUUCUCACUAAACUCUCGGAGGUUACAACGUUGAAAUAAAUGACAUUACAACGAAACCACGAGUUUACUGUGAACCAUUUCAACGUUGUUCCAUGAAGGGUGAGGACGAGUAGAUUGAGGCGCUGAAGAGGAAAAGGGCAGUGGCCAAGGGCAAGUUCACCAGGAAGGGCAACCUCUUCACCACAGCACACGGUGAUGAGGCACCCGUCGUAGUACAACAGGGGCUCGUGUCCUUCCCCUGAGAAUUACUGUCAUCUCCCUAGGAAGGCACUGGUUAAGAACCAGUGGAUUAAAUGGUCUAAAAUUCAUCGAAACUUCUGUCUAAAUCCAUGAAGCCAGUUUUGCGAGUUGACUGCCUCACGAAUAAUGACUAAAUCUCAUUUGUGAGAAGAUUUAAGAAAAUGAUGUUUUUAGAAGAAUUUCAUUACGUUUUCAGUUAUUUUCCUUGAGUUUCUGUUUUAGAAGGUCUGAAUUUAUGAAUUUCUUUAUCAUAAGGUCUGCAUAUUCUAUUUUGUAAUUUUGAUGUACUGGUGCUUUAACAUUAUGCUUAAGUUCUAUGUAAACAUUAUAAACAGAUUCACCUAAGUCAGUUUGCUUACAUUUUCUUUCGACAAAGUUUUUUCCACGUGAAAAAAAAAAGGGAUAUGAAAGUUUUUGUCCUUCUGUUAUGGAAUUAUACUCACAUAAACUGAAUUAUUAAAAAAUACAAAAAGUUUUUUUUUUUUAUUUCCUGAACAGAUGAUAAAAUAAAUUAGGUAGUUUGUGAAGGUGACAAUAUGAUACAAUUACAUGUUACUCCAUGUGAGUAUGGAAAUUUGAAGCCCUUUGAAUGUUACCACUAACAACCUUGUUACAGUGUUGUGCUUGCAUUUCAGUUUCACUUGAGUAGUAGGAUCUGCCUUGGAGCUGCCAUGGAAAUGGUCCAAUAUUGGUUUCCCCGUGAUGAUCUAGAGAUGUACUUGUUGAGGAGGAGUGGAGUGGAUUGGAGUGAUGAGUCUUUCAGCUGUCUGCUUAAAUAAGCCAACAGUGUGUGCAUGUACUAACGUGUUGUUUGCCUUACAUAGCCAGCAGGAUAUGCAUGUACAAACGUGUUGGGUGAUACAGUACUACAACACACACACACACACACACACACACAUAUCACUGUCAUGGCGGACAGAGAAGUCAACGCAAAACAGGCGCUCUUAAAAAUUCAACCAUCUACAUCGCUGAGAGCUGCCCUAGUGGAAAUACAGAGGUGAGAGUUCACACUGGUUUUGCUCGUUGCCGUCCCAUCUCCAAAGUGUUUUGUAGAAAGCAGUUAAAUUGUUAUAAUGAGCAAUGAAGAGGGGGCUACUUCAGUCCCCACUAUGUUGUUUACACCAACAGGGACUGUCCCGAAGGAGAGACAGACUUCUUGGGAUUUGGGGAAGAGGACUGAAGUGUCGGGGAAGCAAUGAUGAGAAGGAGAAUUAAUACACUGGAAACUGAAAUGAAGGAUAGAUUUGACAAGAUGGAGAAGAUGGUUGAAACUUUGAACUCCGAGAAGGGGGUGUGGAAAGUUGCAUACGAUGAUCUACAUAAAAAAAAAAAAAAAAAAACUAAUGUUAUAUGAAAAGAAAGCAAUGGAAUGUGAAGGCAAAAUGGAAGAAUUAAAUGAAAAACAGGAAAAUUGGAAGAAAGAACAAGAGGAAGAAAAGAUCGAUUUUAGGAAAAUUGUGGAGGAACAAACCAAGGCAAACGAAAUAAAGCUAACAGAAAAAGUUGUUCAAGUUAUAAAACAAAGAAAACUUGGUGAGAGACACUGUGGAUAAGAAAAAAAAACUGUUGUGGUAUUUGGCCUGAAGGAAGAGUGUACACCUCAGUGGACUGAAAGAGAAAAGAAGGAAAAUAGAUGUGUGGAAAAAUUAGUGGAGACAUUACGAGGAGAAAAAUCUCAAUUUCGAAGAAAUUAAGAUUUGGUAGAUAUGUUGAGGGUGGACAGCGUCCUAUAAAAAUAAGGUUUAGGUCACAAGUGGCAGCUGAAGAAACACUAAGUAAAUCUUGGAAACUGGCCAAGGUGAAAGAAUAUAAACAAGUGUGGAUAAAAAGAUAGAACCAGAGAAGAGAGAGAUACUAUAAAUGAACUAAGAAAAGAAGCAAAUCAAAAAAAAAUGGAAAACUAUUAGAGGUGCAGAAAAGAAACUUCUUUUGGAGGGUCAUGGACAUGAGGUUGAGAAAGUGGUACAGGAGGGAAGUAAAUGUGGAAGGGUCAGACUAAAAGCAGCAUACAUGAACAUAAAUGGACUAAUGUCGGCAGUGUUGGAACUAGAAGACUAUUUAAAAUAGGAGAAACUGGACAUCAUGGAAAUCGUUGAAACUAAAUUGGCAAGUUAAGGGGAUAUAUUAAAUAUCGAUGAAGGAAAAUACAACCUCUGGAUGAGAAAUAGAAAGAAUAAACGGGGAGGAGGAGAAGUAUUGAAAAUAAGCUUAAGACAGUAUAUGGGAAGAUAGCGUAAUGUGGUGGUGACUUAUGUUUCCCCAUAUUCCAACUCUUGGAGAGAAGAUGAAUAUAAGAAAAUGCUUGAGGAUACAAAGACAUGAUUGGCAGAGCUGCUUGAGGAAAAUGACGAUAUACUCCUGAUAGGAGACUUUAACUUUAAAGAGAUAUCUUGGGAGAAUUGGACCACAGAAGGCAGUGAGUCAUCAUGUCAUCAUGGGGGAACAAGCUACUAGACCUGGCUAUUGAAAAUUUCCUGACACAAGGGGUUACAGAUGACACAAGAUUUAGGGGAAAUGAAGCACCUUCAAGGCUUGAUCUAAUUUUCACUAAGGAACAAGAAAUAGUAGAAGACCUUAAAUACAUAAACCCAAUAGGAAAAAGUGAUCAUGUGCUGAUUCAGUUCACAGUUAUGGAUAAUAACCUCAGUAUAAGGAAAGAGGACCACAGAAGAGAAUGGCUAAACUACAGCAAGAUUAACUUUGGACAACUUAGGAAGUAUUUCAGUGAAGUGAAAUGAAACACAGUUAUUCAAAAGAGGAAAAGUGGACAGCUUUCCUGGACAUUUAUAAUAAGGGAGUAGAGAAAUGGUACCCAAAAGACCAAUAGAGAACCUUUUUCAAAAAGGAUUGGUACAGCAGAUGUGCAACAGCUAGAUUGGAGAGAGAAAAAGUGUGGAACAAGUGGAAGAAGAACAAGAGACUGGACCUGUGGAACAAUUUUAUAAGGAAGAGGAACAAAUGUCAAAACUCAAAGAAAUGAGCAGAAAAAUUUUGAAAAGAAUAUUGUGGAGAAAUGUAAAGAUCAACCAAAAUUAUUUUAUAAAUUCAUCAAUAGAAAAUUAAAGAGUAAAGAUAAAAUAAGCAUGGUAAAAGCUGGAGAAGAGACAGUGGAUGAUCCAAAAGAGGUAGCUGAAGUGUUUAACACUCUGUGUUUACUAAGGAAAAUGAUUUCAGAGGUGAAAGGACAGCGUUAGAAAAAGGGAGUGAACUGAAGGAGAUUAAAACAUCAGUAGAAGUAAAGAAUAUGUUGGAAGACCUGGAUGUAAGGAAAGCAAUGGGUCCUGAUGGUGUAUCGAGUUGGAUUUUAAAAGAAUGUAGCUCACAAUUAGUCUCAGCACUGCACAAUAUAAUUAUCACUACCCUGGUGAAAAGUAGAGUACCCAUAGAUUGGAAACGGGCGGAUAUUACCCCAAUUCACAAGACCGGAAGUAAAGAAGAUCCAUUAACUUAUAGACCUGUAUCACUCACAGGUGUGGUGGCGAAGAUUUGUGAAAAGGUUAUCAAGAACAGGUGGGUGAAAUGCCUAGAAGACAACAAGGUGAUAAUAGAGAAACAGUUUGGCUUCAGAAAAGGAAGAUCUUGUGUUAUGAAUUUGAUAGUUUCUACUCAAGAGUAAUAGAUAUAGUGCAAGAGAGAGAUGGAUGGGCUGACUGCAUAUGCUUAGAUCUGAGAAAAGUAUUUGAUAAAGUUCCGCACAGAAGACUAAUAUGGAAAAUGGAAAAAAUUGGAGGAUUUGGUGGAUCACUGACUUUUUUUUACAAACAGAAAUGAGGACAGUAAUUAAAGGCAGCAGAUCAAACUGGAGAACAGUAAUAAAGUGGUGUCCCGCAAGGUUCAAUACUUGCACCUAUCAUGUUCACAGUUUAUGUAAAUGACAUGACAGGUGUAGAAAGAUACAUGAACCUUUUCGCUGAUGACGCUAAGAUUGUGAGGAAAGUAACAAAUGAAGAGGACUGCAAUGCUUUAAAUCAGGACUUAAUUAAGAUUAAUGAAUGGUCAUUGAGGUGGAACAUGGAGUUUAAUGCUAAAAAAUGUAGUGUGAUGAGGUUUGGAAAAAGUGUGAGAAGACCAGUUGGCAACUAUUACUUAUGGAAUGAGGAAAUCUCUAUAAGGUAAGAAGAAAAAGACCUAGGAGUAAUUAUUGCUGAUAAUUUGUCAUUUGGGAAGCACAUAAACGAAAUUAUAGGGGAAACAUAUAAUUUGCUGAGAACUAUUAAGAUAGCAUUCUCCUAUAUCAAUGAAGAUAUGAUAAGAUAACUGAUAACAACAAUGAUAUAUCCAAGAUUGGAGUAUGCAGUAUUAGUGUGGUCACCAAGUCUGAAAAAGGAUACAAGAAAAUUAGAAAGAAUCCAGAGAGCUGCAACUAAAAUCCCUGCAAGCUUGAAGGAGUAUAGUUAUGAUGAAAAGUUGAAGAGAUUGGUCCUGACUACACCAGAAAAAAGGAGGGAAAGAGGUGAUUUGAUAGCAAUAUACAGAAUAUUGGAAGGAAUGGAAAAGUUGGAUAGAGAAGGCCUCAUGACACCAGAUACAAGAAACACAAGAGGACAUGGAAGGAAAUUGAAAAGGAGUGUUUGCAGAAGAGACAUCAAGAAACAUAGCUUCCCCCACAGAAGUAUAACAGUGUGGAAUGAACUUAAGGAUGAGACUGUGUGUGCAAAGACAAUUCAUAAAUUUAAAGAAAAUCUAGAUAAAAGUUGAUAUGGAGACAGGAUGGCACGAGCCUAGUGUGGCCCUUGUCCUGUAUUUCACAACUAGGUAAACACACACACACACAUGCACACAAUCACUCACACACAAUGAUAGACAGUUCCACGAUUGAUACACACAUGUCAGUGAUUACACAGACAAUAUGUUUCAUAUGUAACCCUUUGGCUGUGCACUCCCACACCAGCCUGGUGGCAAUAAUUUUUACCAGUACUGCAUUUCAAGUCUGCUGAAACAUGUAUAGGCUUUGUGUGCAUUUGACUGAUACUCGUAUAUCAUGGGAGACAAGCAAGUAAAACAUGAGAUGGUGCUAAGCUUUCAAAACAUACUUGGACUUGAAAGUGAAGUGCUUCAUGGAAAUUAGAAAGAAAUAGUCACAAUAAUCUCAUUUUAAUCAUUGAUUAUUAUUAAGAAAAUAUGAUUAUGAUUACAUGAGUUAUCUACUUUUGAUUAUGAUAUGGUUAUGAUUAUGUAAUCAGAGCCAUGGAUUAUGAUUUUUUGAUUAGUAAUCAUAAUCAUACCCAUGUCUUGGUAGGGGGGUCCCCCUUGAUCCAGAGAGUGACAGGCUAUGUCUUGACUACUUCCAACCCAAAGCCGUUUGUUUAUUUAGGCAAAUCUGUCACUGUAAUCCAGUUCUUGAUGGUGGUGCCAGAUAUACAGUAACCCAUUGUUUUUAUGGUGGCACCAAGUAUUCAUUGUUAGUUUAGAUUUGCCAGAUACACAGUAACCCUUUUUUUUUUUUUAUGGUGGCACCAAGUAUUCAUUGUUAGUUUAGAUUUUUUAUGGUUGUAGGUGUGGUGGUAGGGAGAAACCUUCUGUGGCAAUCAUUUUUACUGGAAUAUGCACUGGGGUGUCAAAACCUAUACCUGAUUAUACAGUGUUGCCCAUGUGUAUAAAAUCGCUUAAUGCUGAUAAAAGUUCUUUGUUGGAAUUAAUCAAUUUGCCACACAUUUCAAAACAAGAUGGGAAUAUGCAGACCAUCAGCAAGUGAGAGCCUUAGUCAGUGGCUUACAUAUCCUAUGGUAGCAAAAUUAUUACCAAUAUUAUCACACAGUUUAUGGAACAACAAUAUGGUAAUGAAUAAAUAAAAUGAAUACUAUACACAAAUAUCAGUCAUAUGAAGAUAUUACAGAAUUACAAACCAUAUUUUUCUGGUAAGUGUAUACUCCACUGUUAGUGCUUCAUUAUUGUUUCUACUAUCAUUUUUAAUGAAGGAAUUAGUAGGAUGUAGGACAAAGCAAGUUGGUUAAGAGAAAAGAAUAUGGCAAAGUAGACAAAUGAGUAUAACAAUUUUGUCUGAUUUUACUUAUAAUCCUUUUGAUUUAAAUUAAAAAAAUAACCAUCUAUAGUAUUGUCCUGAAGUAUUUUUGAGAACCAACUCAUUCCCCAUCAGCUGUCAUUAAUAGGCCAACUGAUUCUCUAGCUAUUCUUUGUUUUGUAUACAUGAAAAAUCUCAUCAGAUGUCUCUGCCUGGCUAGCUGCCUUAAUUCCUUAGUUGCCCUUAGCCGUUUGUUAACUGCCUAACUAUUUCAGCUAAUGGAUUUUAUUGAUUAACUCCUUAUAUCCUCUUGUCUUGCAUUCAAUCUCUUAUACAUAUUUAUUUUCAGUCCUAUAUAAUAAUUUUUCUUAUUUUAUUGCUC